GGCUACGUAGCUCAGCUGGUUAGAGCACAUCACUCAUAAUGAUGGGGUCACAGGUUCG
Molecule: transfer RNA, 58 nt
Filed under: Vibrio harveyi
Lineage: Bacteria; Pseudomonadati; Pseudomonadota; Gammaproteobacteria; Vibrionales; Vibrionaceae
Description: partial tRNA-Met
Rfam family: tRNA
About the family: Transfer RNA (tRNA) molecules are approximately 80 nucleotides in length. Their secondary structure includes four short double-helical elements and three loops (D, anti-codon, and T loops).
Source: RNAcentral